GACAUUGUUCAACGGCCGCGGUAUCCUAACCGUGCGAAGGUAGCGUAAUCACUUGUUCUUUAAAUAAGGACUAGUAUGAAAGGCACCACGAGAGUCAUGCUGUCUCCUUUCUCUAAUCAGUGAAACUAAUCUCCCCGUGAAGAAGCGGGGAUAAAAAUAUAAGACGAGAAGACCCUAUGGAGCUUUAAACAAGUAACACCUGCCCAUCAAAUUUCCAAUUUCAGAAAAAUUUUCUACCCCGGCAUCAUGAUUAUUAGUUUUUGGUUGGGGUGACCGCGGAAUAAAAACUAACCUCCGCAAUGAAAGACACUCAUCUACUUAAUUAAGGGCCACAACCCCACACAUCAACAAAUUGACACUAAUUGACCCAACAUGUUGAUCAAUGAACCAAGUUACCCUAGGGAUAACAGCGCAAUCCGCUUCAAGAGCUCCUAUCGACAAGUGGGUUUACGACCUCGAUGUUGGAUCAGGGUGUCCUAGUGGUGCAGCCGCUACUAAAGGUUCGUUUGUUCAACGAUUAAAACCCUACGUGAUCUGAGUUCAGAC
Molecule: ribosomal RNA, 546 nt
Filed under: Adenomera marmorata
Lineage: Eukaryota; Metazoa; Chordata; Amphibia; Anura; Leptodactylidae
Description: partial large subunit ribosomal RNA
Rfam family: Bacterial large subunit ribosomal RNA
Source: RNAcentral